Molecule: long non-coding RNA, 259 nt
Filed under: Capra hircus (goat)
Lineage: Eukaryota; Metazoa; Chordata; Mammalia; Artiodactyla; Bovidae
Description: lncRNA (ENSCHIG00010021246.1)
Source: RNAcentral
AGUGCCUGACCCCUGGCAAACAGACUGCAGCCCGAGCACCAGGUGUGCUGGGAGUGAGCUCACCAGGAGCAGGGUGGUGACAGUGGAAGGCUCUCCUGAGUGCCUCCCUGGCCUCAUUAGCACCUCACUCACUGCUGGGGCCCAGAGUACUAAGAUGGAAAAGCACCGCACAGAGGGAAGAAACUUGAGAGGAGAGAAGGGAGCCACCCAAGUUUGUGGCAGACUCUGAACUGGGCCAGGUCUCCUGACUUCUGAUGGA